This 301-nucleotide ribosomal RNA is filed under the name uncultured bacterium. Its description in RNAcentral is "partial 16S ribosomal RNA". It matches the Rfam family "Bacterial small subunit ribosomal RNA", at positions 509 to 809 of the family's 1533-position model. The record is from RNAcentral.
CAGUCGCCGCGGUAAUACGAAGGGGGCUAGCGUUGCUCGGAAUCACUGGGCGUAAAGGGUGCGUAGGCGGGUCUUUAAGUCAGGGGUGAAAUCCUGGAGCCCAACUCCAGAACUGCCUUUGAUACUGAAGAUCUUGAGUUCGGGAGAGGUGAGUGGAACUGCGAGUGUAGAGGUGAAAUUCGUAGAUAUUCGCAAGAACACCAGUGGCGAAGGCGGCUCACUGGCCCGAUACUGACGCUGAGGCACGAAAGCGUGGGGAGCAAACAGGAUUAGAUACCCCGGUAGUCCCUGUCUCUUAUAA